UAUCCGUUGGUGAACCAGCGGAGGGAUCAUUACAGAGUUGCAAAACUCCCAAACCAUUGUGAACGUUACCUAUCCCGUUGCUUCGGCGGGCGACCCGGGCCCCGCGCCCGGCGCCCCCCGGCCCCCCGUGGGCGCCCGCCGGAGGUAAACCAAACCCUUGAAUAGCAUGGCCUCUCUGAGUCUUCUGUACUGAAUAAGACAAAACUUUCAACAACGGAUCUCUUGGUUCUGGUAUUGAUGAAGAACGCAGC
Molecule: unclassified non-coding RNA, 251 nt
Filed under: plant metagenome
Description: partial contains small subunit ribosomal RNA, internal transcribed spacer 1, and 5.8S ribosomal RNA
Rfam family: 5.8S ribosomal RNA (bases 203-251)
Source: RNAcentral